GGACCUGCGGUUGGAUUCACUUUUGACACAAUUGAAGCUGUAUUUGGUGCAUAUGGUCCAGUCAAGGGAGUCUAUCUCGCCGAUGAAAGUGGCACUAGAGUUAUUGUGUCAUAUCAUGAAGAGAAGUCUGCAGAGUCUGCCUUGAAGGCUUUGAAUAGACGUGCAUGUCCUGAGCUCGGAGGCCGGUCUUUGCACAUUCAGUAUUCUGUACACUCUAUUUGUCAGGUGAAAUAUCUUUAUCCACAUCAAUGUCUUGAAUAUCAUGAAGAGAAGUCUGCGGAGUCUGCCUUGAAGGCUUUGAAUAGACGUGCAUGUCCUGAGCUCGGAGGCCGGUCUUUGCACAUUCAGUAUUCUGUACACUCUGUUUGUCAGGU
RNAcentral lists this long non-coding RNA (374 nucleotides) under Nicotiana benthamiana. RNAcentral's name for it is "long non-coding RNA (NBEN_LNC035961)". Lineage: Eukaryota; Viridiplantae; Streptophyta; Magnoliopsida; Solanales; Solanaceae. The record is from RNAcentral.